AUUGAACGCUGGCGGCAUGCCUUACACAUGCAAGUCGAACGGCAGCACGGGGGCAACCCUGGUGUCGAGUGGCGAACGGGUGAGUAAUACACCUGAACAUGCCCGGUCUUGGGGGAUAACGUAGCGACAGUUACGCUAAUAUCCCAUACGAUCUGAGGAUGAAACCGGGGGACCUUCGGUCCUCGCGCGCUCUGCGGUCCCGAUGUCAGAUUAGCUAGUUGGUGGGGUAAAGGCCUACCAAGGCGACGAUCUGUAGCUGGUCUGAGAGGACGACCAGCCACACUGGGACUGAGACACGGCCCAGACUCCUACGGGAGGCAGCAGUGGGGAAUUUUGGACAAUGGGCGAAAGCCUGAUCCAGCAAUGCCGCGUGAGGGACGAAGGCCUUCGGGUUGUAAACUGCUUUUGUAUGGAAAGAAAAGGUUCGGGCUAAUACGUGGGGGUCAUGACGGUACCGAAAGAAUAAGCACCGGCUAACUACGUG
RNAcentral lists this ribosomal RNA (484 nucleotides) under uncultured bacterium. RNAcentral's name for it is "partial 16S ribosomal RNA". It matches the Rfam family "Bacterial small subunit ribosomal RNA", at positions 30 to 507 of the family's 1533-position model. The record is from RNAcentral.